RNAcentral lists this transfer RNA (109 nucleotides) under Clostridiales bacterium. Its description in RNAcentral is "tRNA-OTHER". It matches the Rfam family "tRNA". From Rfam's summary of the family: Transfer RNA (tRNA) molecules are approximately 80 nucleotides in length. Their secondary structure includes four short double-helical elements and three loops (D, anti-codon, and T loops). Further hydrogen bonds mediate the characteristic L-shaped molecular structure. tRNAs have two regions of fundamental functional importance: the anti-codon, which is responsible for specific mRNA codon recognition, and the 3' end, to which the tRNAs corresponding amino acid is attached (by aminoacyl-tRNA synthetases). tRNAs cope with the degeneracy of the genetic code in two manners: having more than one tRNA (with a specific anti-codon) for a particular amino acid; and 'wobble' base-pairing, i.e. permitting non-standard base-pairing at the 3rd anti-codon position. Lineage: Bacteria; Bacillati; Bacillota; Clostridia; Eubacteriales. The record is from RNAcentral.
GCGUACUUGGUUUAACGGGUAAAACGUACCGCCUAUUAAGUUCUAGAUGGAAUAGGGAGAAAGGUUAACAUUUCUCAGUAAGAUUUAGGUUCGAAUCCUAAAGUACGUA